GCAUAUCAAUAAGCGGAGGAAAAGAAACUAACAAGGAUUCCCCUAGUAACGGCGAGUGAAGCGGGAAGAGCUCAAAUUUGAAAUCUGGCAGUCUUCGAUUGUCCGAGUUGUAAUCUAUAGAGGCGUUUUCCGUGCCGGACCGUGUCCAAGUCUCCUGGAAAGGAGUAUCAAAGAGGGUGAUAAUCCCGUACUUAACACGACCACCGGUGCUCUGUGAUACGUCUUCUACGAGUCGAGUUGUUUGGGAAUGCAGCUCAAAAUGGGUGGUGAAUUCCAUCUAAAGCUAAAUAUUGGCGAGAGACCGAUAGCGAACAAGUACCGUGAGGGAAAGAUGAAAAGCACUUUGGAAAGAGAGUUAAACAGUACGUGAAAUUGUUGAAAGGGAAACGAUUGAAGUCAGUCGUGUUCUUUGGAUUCAGCCAGUUCUGCUGGUCUACUUCCUUGGAACGGGUCAACAUCAGUUUUGUCCGGUGGAUAAAGGUAGUAGGAAUGUGACUUCUCCGGAAGUGUUAUAGCCUAUUAUCACAUACACUGGGUGAGACUGAGGACUGCAGCUCGCCUUUAUGGCCGGCCUUCGGGCACGUUCGAGCUUAGGAUGUUGACAUAAUGGCUUUAAACGACCCGUCUUGAAACACGGACC
Molecule: ribosomal RNA, 640 nt
Filed under: Trichosporon asahii
Lineage: Eukaryota; Fungi; Basidiomycota; Tremellomycetes; Trichosporonales; Trichosporonaceae
Description: eukaryotic LSU rRNA
Rfam family: Eukaryotic large subunit ribosomal RNA
Source: RNAcentral